Gallus gallus (chicken) is the source of this 1418-nucleotide long non-coding RNA. Lineage: Eukaryota; Metazoa; Chordata; Aves; Galliformes; Phasianidae. The record is from Ensembl.
CUCAGCUUGCUGGCUGGGAGUCCGCUUUGACAGCCAGCUAACGGAUUUUUCGCAGUGCCUGCUGAGCUGGUUUGGGGAAGGAGUGGCACACAUAAGCACAUUUGUUUCUUGUGAUAGGACACCCUGCAACAGGGUCUCUAAGUAAACAGGGGCAUCCACGUACCGUCUCUCAAAACCCAAGGCAUGCUUAUGCAACGCUCAGUCCAUCUGUUGUUGAGAUCAUCUUAAUGGCUGUGACGGCUCCCCUGCCUGCAGCGCGGCGGAAUGGAAGUCCCUCUGCAUAAAUUAUCACAAAGCAAACCCAGGCUCAGUACUGUGAGCAGAGGAGGUCGUUAAAUUCCGCAAUUAAUCUGCUGUGCCACUGUCAAGGCUUGCCUGUAUUUGUGAGAUGUUUUUUGCUAAUGAGGAAAGUUUGUCUCCUGAGGAAUUUUUAAUUGAGACAACAAAGCAUCAUCUGGUGGCUGCGGGGAGAAGCGGCUCCCAGUUCUGCUGGGUGACCCGACCUUCCAUCACCGGGCACGGCUCCUCCAUGGGCACCACGCAUAGCUGGGACAUGACCCGUUUUGGAGCUCCCUGCCUGCCUGCAGAUGGAGUUACGCUGCCUGUAGCCCUGUCUGCAGGCUCAGGGUUCACACAACUCCCUGUCCAUCUCUGAUUCUUCCCACAGGAGAGCACUCGGGUCUCUGCUGGUACAGGCCCAAGUGCUGCUGGAAUUGCAGGGACAAAGUGCAGUGCUGAAAAGCUGUCUUAUAAAGUCUUUUUAAUUAUUCUCGAGGAUGAACUCUUACAGUUGUAAUAUCCUAACAUCAGAGAAGUUGUAUUAAUUUACCUGCUGUUAAACUCUGUGACCCUGCUGUGGGGAUGGGGAGACUCCGAGCUAUCGCUCUGAUGUCUGUCAUCUUAAACCCUGUUUUCCAGAGGGUGUGACAUGCUCAGCAGUCUUGCUAGCUCACACGCUUUGGGCUGAGAAAAAUCAGUUUCAGCCUCUUUUCUUCAGAACCAGACUGCUGUAUUCAAAGUGGUGGCACGUGUGUGCUUUGACCUCUUCCUUUCCCUGAAGUCAUCGUAAUAAGCGCCCGACAGUAAAACUGUCAGUAUGUAAAAGCAGUGAUUUCUCAUCAUAAUGGUCUGUUGUUUCCAACUCGGUCGCUUCUGUGGUACAAAAUCAAAAUGGUCCCAGGGAGGUUCGAAUGGAGCUGUGCGGCUGUGGCUGCAGUGACAGGAGCCCAUCUGCACCUCGUGGGGCCGUGUAACACAAGGAAACACAACACGUGCAGUGCUCCUUCACUUCCAAUUCAGCUGUGCCUUCAGUGGGCUUUGCUUAGUACUUUAUUUGGUCUAUGUUCAUUUGCUAACAAAGUUGUUUUCACAUCUGGAAGCACUGCCAAGUACAAAUCACAAAUCAAAAGAAGGGUGCA